GACGAACGCUGGCGGCGUGCUAAUACAGCAAGUAGAACGCACAGGAUGCACCGUAGUUUACUACACGUAUUCUGUGAGUUGCGAACGGGUGAGUAACGCGUAGGUAACUGCCUGGUAGCGGGGGAUAACUAUUGGAAACGAUAGCUAAUACCGCAUAAGACAUUUACGCAUGGUAGAUGUUUAAAAGGUGCAAAUGCAUCACUACCAGAUGGACCUGCGUUGUAUUAGCUAGUAGGUGAGGUACGGCUCACCUAGGCGACGAUACAUAGCCGCCUAGAGGGUGAUCGGCCACACUGGGACUGAGACACGGCCCAGACUCCUACGGGAGGCAGCAGUAGGAAUCUUCGGCAAUGGGGGGACCCUGCCGAGCACGCCGCGUGAGUGAAGAAGGUUUUCGGAUCGUAAAGCUCUGUUGUUAAGGAAGAAGAGUUGAGAAUGGAAGUUCAUACUGUGACGGUACUUAACCAGA
This 469-nucleotide ribosomal RNA is filed under the name Streptococcus intermedius. RNAcentral's name for it is "bacterial SSU rRNA". It matches the Rfam family "Bacterial small subunit ribosomal RNA", at positions 28 to 487 of the family's 1533-position model. Lineage: Bacteria; Bacillati; Bacillota; Bacilli; Lactobacillales; Streptococcaceae. The record is from RNAcentral.